Molecule: ribosomal RNA, 503 nt
Filed under: uncultured bacterium
Lineage: Bacteria
Description: partial 16S ribosomal RNA
Rfam family: Bacterial small subunit ribosomal RNA
Source: RNAcentral
AUUGAACGCUGGCGGCAGGCUUAACACAUGCAAGUCGAGCGGGGUGAUGGUGCUUGCACUAUCACUUAGCGGCGGACGGGUGAGUAAUGCUUAGGAAUCUGCCUAUUAGUGGGGGACAACAUCCCGAAAGGGAUGCUAAUACCGCAUACGUCUUACGGGAGAAAGCAGGGGAUCACUUGUGACCUUGCGCUAAUAGAUGAGCCUAAGUCGGAUUAGCUAGUUGGUGGGGUAAAGGCCUACCAAGGCGACGAUCUGUAGCGGGUCUGAGAGGAUGAUCCGCCACACUGGGACUGAGACACGGCCCAGACUCCUACGGGAGGCAGCAGUGGGGAAUAUUGGACAAUGGGGGGAACCCUGAUCCAGCCAUGCCGCGUGUGUGAAGAAGGCCUUAUGGUUGUAAAGCACUUUAAGCGAGGAGGAGGCUCUUUUGGUUAAUGCCCAAGAUGAGUGGACGUUACUCGCAGAAUAAGCACCGGCUAACUCUGUGCCAGCAGCCGCGGUAA